UACGUAGGGUGCAAGCGUUAUCCGGAAUUAUUGGGCGUAAAGAGCUCGUAGGCGGUUUGUCGCGUCUGCUGUGAAAACUGGAGGCUCAACCUCCAGCCUGCAGUGGGUACGGGCAAACUAGAGUGCGGUAGGGGAGAUUGGAAUUCCUGGUGUAGCGGUGGAAUGCGCAGAUAUCAGGAGGAACACCGAUGGCGAAGGCAGAUCUCUGGGCCGUAACUGACGCUGAGGAGCGAAAGCAUGGGGAGCGAACAGG
RNAcentral lists this ribosomal RNA (253 nucleotides) under uncultured bacterium. RNAcentral describes it as "partial 16S ribosomal RNA". It matches the Rfam family "Bacterial small subunit ribosomal RNA", at positions 524 to 776 of the family's 1533-position model. The record is from RNAcentral.